UGCAAUCAUACUGGCUUGUGUUAGUGAGGU
RNAcentral lists this non-coding RNA (30 nucleotides) under Rattus norvegicus (Norway rat). The record is from RNAcentral. Lineage: Eukaryota; Metazoa; Chordata; Mammalia; Rodentia; Muridae.